CGACAGGCUUGCCUUCCUCCGACCGCCGACGGCGCUAGAUGGCAGCUUCAUCUACACCCCGAAGGGCAAGUUUCAGCUGGCGUGGAACGUGACGCUCCCGAGGAAACGGUCGUGUGAGGAGACGAACGGUUUGCUGGAGACCGGCCAGGACACGGCGGUCGUCUGUCUUGAGGCGCGCUCGGAGAGGAGCCGGGGACUCCUUUCGUGACGUCACCGCGCCCCGCCGGGCCUCCGGC
Long non-coding RNA from Pollicipes pollicipes, 236 nucleotides. RefSeq lists it as uncharacterized. NCBI's taxonomy places the organism in Eukaryota, Metazoa, Arthropoda, Thecostraca, Pollicipedomorpha, Pollicipedidae. The record is from RefSeq and is a predicted model, not a curated record. The transcript has 3 exons.